AUUGAACGCUGGCGGCAGGCCUAACACAUGCAAGUCGAGCGGAUGAAGGGAGCUUGCUCCUGGAUUCAGCGGCGGACGGGCGAGUAAUGCCUAGGAAUCUGCCUGGUAGUGGGGGAUAACGUCCGGAAACGGGCGCUAAUACCGCAUACGUCCUGAGGGAGAAAGUGGGGGAUCUUCGGACUUCACGCUAUCAGAUGAGCCUAGGUCGGAUUAGCUAGUUGGUGGGGUAAAGGCCUACCAAGGCGACGAUCCGUAACUGGUCUGAGAGGAUGAUCAGUCACACUGGAACUGAGACACGGUCCAGACUCCUACGGGAGGCAGCAGUGGGGAAUAUUGGACAAUGGGCGAAAGCCUGAUCCAGCCAUGCCGCGUGUGUGAAGAAGGUCUUCGGAUUGUAAAGCACUUUAAGUUGGGAGGAAGGGCAGUAAGUUAAUACCUUGCUGUUUUGACGUUACCAACAGAAUAAGCACCGGCUAACUUCGUG
RNAcentral lists this ribosomal RNA (484 nucleotides) under uncultured bacterium. RNAcentral describes it as "partial 16S ribosomal RNA". It matches the Rfam family "Bacterial small subunit ribosomal RNA", at positions 30 to 507 of the family's 1533-position model. The record is from RNAcentral.